RNAcentral lists this unclassified non-coding RNA (246 nucleotides) under Basidiomycota sp. RNAcentral describes it as "partial contains small subunit ribosomal RNA, internal transcribed spacer 1, and 5.8S ribosomal RNA". The stretch from base 1 to 47 matches the Rfam family "Eukaryotic small subunit ribosomal RNA", at positions 1785 to 1831 of the family's 1831-position model. The record is from RNAcentral. Lineage: Eukaryota; Fungi; Basidiomycota.
AAAGUCGUAACAAGGUUUCCGUAGGUGAACCUGCGGAAGGAUCAUUAACACUAAUGAAAUCCAAAACCUUUUGGAUCAACCCAACCUUAGCGAACCGUUCGUUUUUUUUUCCCUUUGCCCCACAUUUUAUCAAACGCAAAAACAAAAUCUGAUGUAAAGUGUCUGAUCCUUAUUCCGAGUGUGUAACAACGCUGGAAUCAAAAAUCUAACGCAAUACAACUCUUAACAACGGAUAUCUUGGCUCUC